RNAcentral lists this ribosomal RNA (400 nucleotides) under uncultured bacterium. Its description in RNAcentral is "bacterial SSU rRNA". It matches the Rfam family "Bacterial small subunit ribosomal RNA", at positions 30 to 429 of the family's 1533-position model. The record is from RNAcentral.
AUUGAACGCUGGCGGCAUGCCUUACACAUGCAAGUCGAACGGCAGCACGGGAGCAAUCCUGGUGGCGAGUGGCGAACGGGUGAGUAAUAUAUCGGAACGUGCCCGGUCGUGGGGGAUAACGUAGCGAAAGCUACGCUAAUACCGCAUACGAUCUACGGAUGAAAGCGGGGGGAUCGCAAGACCUCGCGCGAUUGGAGCGGCCGAUAUCAGAUUAGGUAGUUGGUGAGGUAAAGGGCUCACCAAGCCGACGAUCUGUAGCUGGUCUGAGAGGACGACCAGCCACACUGGGACUGAGACACGGCCCAGACUCCUACGGGAGGCAGCAGUGGGGAAUUUUGGACAAUGGGCGCAAGCCUGAUCCAGCAAUGCCGCGUGCAGGAUGAAGGCCUUCGGUUGUAAC